UACGGGGGGGGCAAGCGUUGUUCGGAAUUACUGGGCGUAAAGGGCGCGUAGGCGGCCUUCUAAGUCGGACGUGAAAUCCCUCGGCUUAACCGAGGAACUGCGUCCGAUACUGAAAGGCUUGAAUCCGGGAGAGGGAUGUGGAAUUCCAGGUGUAGCGGUGAAAUGCGUAGAUAUCUGGAGGAGCACCGGUGGCGAAGGCGGCAUCCUGGACCGGCAUUGGCGCUGAGGCGCGAAAGCUAGGGGAGCAAACGGG
RNAcentral lists this ribosomal RNA (253 nucleotides) under uncultured bacterium. RNAcentral describes it as "partial 16S ribosomal RNA". It matches the Rfam family "Bacterial small subunit ribosomal RNA", at positions 524 to 776 of the family's 1533-position model. The record is from RNAcentral.